Molecule: non-coding RNA, 84 nt
Organism: Bombyx mori (domestic silkworm)
Lineage: Eukaryota; Metazoa; Arthropoda; Insecta; Lepidoptera; Bombycidae
Source: Rfam
UUAACUCAUAUUUGUAUGGAGUUGGAACUAUUGCCUACGUUUGCCGCUAGAGGCGCUGUUCCAACUCUAUACAAUUUUGAGUUA